Hyaena hyaena (striped hyena) is the source of this 765-nucleotide long non-coding RNA. RefSeq lists it as uncharacterized. Lineage: Eukaryota; Metazoa; Chordata; Mammalia; Carnivora; Hyaenidae. The transcript is spliced from 3 exons. The record is from RefSeq and is a predicted model, not a curated record.
AUGACCUGAGCCGAAGUUGGACGCUUAACUGACUGGGCCACCCAGGCGCCCCUGACACUGGCAAGUCUAACAGAAGGAUAAUGCAGGUUUACAACAUUGGCCUGAGGCCUGAGGGCCACACUUGGAAAACCAGCUGGAAUGAAGGAAGCUGCAGGGAACAAAAAAAGGAAGUACAUAAACCAUCUUUCAGCCAUGGCAGUUGGGAAGGAUACUGCGACACCAGACACGCUGCCGUCUCAAUAGAACACCACAGCAGUUGCCAAGAACAACUACUUGCUCCAGUUUCAGAGUCCCGGGUGGUCCAAUCUCAGUAGAAAAUUCUAAGCAUUUUGGUGUGAUUUGUUAACUCCACAAAUAUUUAUUGGAUGCCUACUAAGUGCCAAGCACAAAGCCAUGAGUUUAUAAUACGCCUGGGAAACAGUUCUCUGGUCAAAGGACACACGGUUAAUCAGGUGACAAGCAAGUGUUGCUGAGCCAAAAGAGAGGGAGAGCGACGAAUGCUCAAUUGGAAGUUUUAGCUGAGGGUCAGAAGACCUGGCGCCACCCAGGUGAAGCCUGGAAGUGGGACACGUGCGCCACGGCCUUGGGCUCCGGGGUCCAAGGCGCCCCGCGCUGGUCCGCGGGCGCUCCCUCUCCACUCCCGGACACUUGGAUCCCGGCCACGUCCGCACCCUCCGAGUGAGUGUGGGUGAUUUCGAAAGUGGGCGUGACCGGCCCCGGGGGAACGGGUGCUAGGAAGUGGGAGUGAGCGGGGAGGCGGGGCGG